ACACUGGGACUGAGACACGGCCCAGACUCCUACGGGAGGCAGCAGUAGGGAAUCUUCCGCAAUGGACGAAAGUCUGACGGAGCAACGCCGCGUGAGUGAUGAAGGUUUUCGGAUCGUAAAGCUCUGUUGUUAGGGAAGAACAAGUGCCGUUCAAAUAGGGCGGCACCUUGACGGUACCUAACCAGAAAGCCACGCUUAAUUAUGGCCCAGCGCGCGGGGGUAUACGUAGUGGUGGAAGGUGCCGGAGAAAUUUUUGGGGCGAAAGGGUCCCGCAGCUUUUCUUAGUCUGAGGAAACCCCGGCUCAACCGGGGAGGGUCAUUGGAAACUGGGGAACUUGAGUGCAGAAGAGGAGAGUGGAAUUCCACGUGUAGCGGUGAAAUGCGUAGAGAUGUGGAGGAACACCAGUGGCGAAGGCGACUCUCUGGUCUGUAACUGACGCUGAGGAGCGAAAGCGUGGGGAGCGAACAGGAUUAGAUACCCUGGUAGUCCACGCCGUAAACGAUGAGUGCUAAGUGUUAGGGGGUUUCCGCCCCUUAGUGCUGCAGCUAACGCAUUAAGCACUCCGCCUGGGGAGUACGGUCGCAAGACUGAAACUCAAAGGAAUGCGGGCCC
This 613-nucleotide ribosomal RNA is filed under the name Bacillus subtilis. Its description in RNAcentral is "bacterial SSU rRNA". It matches the Rfam family "Bacterial small subunit ribosomal RNA", at positions 310 to 922 of the family's 1533-position model. The record is from RNAcentral. Lineage: Bacteria; Bacillati; Bacillota; Bacilli; Caryophanales; Bacillaceae.